Seriola aureovittata is the source of this 797-nucleotide long non-coding RNA. RefSeq lists it as uncharacterized. The transcript is spliced from 3 exons. NCBI's taxonomy places the organism in Eukaryota, Metazoa, Chordata, Actinopteri, Carangiformes, Carangidae. The record is from RefSeq and is a predicted model, not a curated record.
GUAAGGAUCAUUUUCCAAACCGUCAGCGGUAAGACCACAAGAGGGAGCAGGACAGAAAUGUAGCCGAAUAUUUGACUUUUCUACAGCAGGCCGCUGAUAAAAUGUCUAAACCAAAGGAUUGGUUUGUUUCAAUGACGAUAUUAUUAACUUAAUACAAGAACCGUGAGACCCGCGGGGUUUUCGCUUGGCUGGAAUUGCCGUAGUAGCUUCACGCGGGAGAUACGCUAACAGAGCGGUGACCCUCUGAUGACCUAGCCUGGUGUGAAACAUGGCACAUAGGAGUGGCUGCAAACUCGGACACAGGCAGCAGAGGGUUUGAUGCGCGCAGACAGCAGACAAGCAGUUCUGGGAGCAGGAGGAGACACAGAUAGAAACAGACAGAGAGAGAAGCAGAUGAAGGUAAACAGUGAUAAAGACGGAAAGAGAAAGAAGGUGGAAGAUAGAGGUAGAAUUAAAGAGGGCAGUUUGAAAUAUAAAAUAAAUAAAGGCCAGGUAAUCAAGAAAAAAAAAUGGCAAUGAAAAGAAGAAACCAGAGUGGGAAAUAACAAAGCAGGUGAAAGGCUGAGUGUGUCAGUGGGAGAGAAACAAAGAAAGACAAUAGGAGAGGCCAUCAAGGCAGCCACUUAAUAGUCCACCCACUCGCUGCUGUCCAAAUGGGCAGAUUGACGCCUGUUAGCUCUUUUAAUAGCUCCUAUAAUGGACCGCAGUUUAGGUGGGCGGCAGGAAAAGGGAGCCGUCCUGUCCAAAGUAACUCAAUUCCUCGGUUCUGUUCUCCAGUUUCAGUCCCUUUCAGCACA